This 2238-nucleotide ribosomal RNA is filed under the name Triticum aestivum (bread wheat). Its description in RNAcentral is "partial small subunit ribosomal RNA". Lineage: Eukaryota; Viridiplantae; Streptophyta; Magnoliopsida; Poales; Poaceae. The record is from RNAcentral.
AUGCACGUCUUGUUGCAGCUUAGCCUUCUUGGCCUCAUACUGCUUGGGACACAGCAUGCCUCUGGGGCCGCGGGUCCUAGCUCAAACUGCCGAAGGCGGUGCGGCGAUGUCGAGAUACCGUACCCAUUUGGCAUCGAUCCCAAUAUCCCCAACUGCUCGCUCGCAGAAGUCUUCGACCUCAGCUGCAAGGUUAGAGAUGGCGCCCUCAAGCCCAAGCCGUUCAAGGCCAUCUUUGAGGUGCUGGACAUCUCCCUGACCCACAGCACCGCCAGGGUGCUCAACUACAUCGAGGCUUUCUGCUACAACAACUCCACCAGGAGCAUGGAGCAUCUCGGCUAUCACGAGAGCCAAAACGGAGGGCCUAGCUCCGUCUACCGGCUCUCCGACGUCGAGAACAGGUUCACGGUCAUCGGGUGCAACGCCCUGGGCAUCAUGUCCGACUUCGCCGGCACGGGCUACCAGGGGAUGGGCGUGGCCACGUGCCGCAACCUGUCGGACCUGGUGGACGGGUCCUGCGCCGGCAUGGGCUGCUCCCAGACCAUGAUACCCAAGAGGAUGUACUACUACGACACCAACUUCUCCCGCUCCGUCAACACGAGCCGGAUCUGGGAGUUCAACCGGUGCAGCUACGCGGUGCUCAUGGAGGCCACGGCGUUCAACUUCAUCACCUCGUACGUCGGCAACACCACCUUCAACGACACGCACCAUGGGCGGGUGCCCAUGGUGGUUGAUUGGGCUGUGAGGGACGCAAAGUCGUGUGACGACGCACGACGGAAUACGACCUACGCAUGCCUCAGCAGCAACAGCGUGUGCGUGGAUUCCGUCAAUGAUUACGGCUAUAUGUGCAACUGCUCGCAGGGAUACAAAGGCAAUGCCUAUCUCCCCGGUGGAUGCCAAGAUGUCGACGAAUGUAGUAACAACAACCCAUGUCCUUCGGGAGGCACUUGCCACAAUACAAUUGGAGGAUACCGAUGUUCUUGUCGAGUAGGAAGAAAAAUGGAAGACAAUACAUGCAGCCCUGAUAUCGGCUUAAUACUAGGAGUUACACUAGGAUUAUUUGGGGCAAUCAUUACCGCCAUGAUCACUAUAUUUUGGGGACAAAUAAUAAUCCAGAAGAGAAAAUUGGAAAAAGUUAAGAGGGAGUAUUUCCGCCAACAUGGAGGGCUGCUUUUGUUUGAUAGGAUGAAAUCUGAGAAAGGUCUUGCUUUCACUAUAUUUUCAGAAGCUGAGCUCAUACAUGCCACCAACAACUUUGACAGUACCAGAAUACUUGGAAAAGGAGGUCAUGGAACAGUCUAUAAAGGGAUAUUGAAGAACAACAUUACAGUUGCAAUUAAAAGAUGUGCAUUAGUUGAUGAAAGGCAAAAGAAGGAAUUUGGCCAAGAGUUGCUCAUUUUAUCCCAAAUAAAUCACAAGAACAUUGUGAAACUCUUAGGUUGUUGCCUUGAGGUGGAAGUUCCAAUUCUAGUAUAUGAGUUUGUUCUAAAUGGUACACUUUUUGAGUAUAUUCAUGGAAAGAACCAAUCAUCACAUAUCUCCUUCAGCAAUCUCUUAAGGAUUUCUCAUGAAGCAGCCGAAGGACUCAGCUUCCUACACUCUUAUGCAUCUCCCCUUAUUAUUCAUGGUGAUGUAAAAACUUCCAACAUUCUUCUUGAUGACAACCACAUGGCCAAGGUAUCGGACUUUGGAGCCUCGGUACUAGCCCCGUCUGAUGAAGAGCAAUUUCUCACAAUACUUCAAGGUACGUGUGGAUACCUUGAUCCUGAAUACCUGCAAACGUGUCAGUUGACAGCUAAAAGCGAUGUGUAUAGCUUUGGAGUUAUCCUUUUGGAGAUCCUCACAGGCCAAUUGCCACUAAAGCUUGAAGGGUCUGACACACAAAAGAUCUUAUCAUCGACUUUCCUAUCUGCCAUGAAGGAGAACAAUCUUGAUGCGGUGUUGGUCAAACACGUGAAAGAACAAGAGAGCAUGGAGUUGCUGAACGGACUUGCAGACCUAGCAAAGAAAUGCCUAGAUAUGUGUGGUGACAGCAGGCCCUCGAUGGAAGAGGUUGCGAAUGAGCUCGGCAGAUUGAGAAAGCUUCCAAUGUAUCCAUGGGUACGAGUGGGCGUGGAGACGGAUGGAGAGAGCCUUCUAGGUGGAGAUUCCACCGGUGUUCAGGAAGUAGAAUCUGACUAUUCUAUGGGAGAAAAUGAGAACCAACACAUAAAUCCAGGAAGUUCAUAUUAUGCUAGGUGA